Molecule: transfer RNA, 72 nt
Filed under: Oreochromis niloticus (Nile tilapia)
Lineage: Eukaryota; Metazoa; Chordata; Actinopteri; Cichliformes; Cichlidae
Also listed under: 1 other name
Rfam family: tRNA
About the family: Transfer RNA (tRNA) molecules are approximately 80 nucleotides in length. Their secondary structure includes four short double-helical elements and three loops (D, anti-codon, and T loops). Further hydrogen bonds mediate the characteristic L-shaped molecular structure. tRNAs have two regions of fundamental functional importance: the anti-codon, which is responsible for specific mRNA codon recognition, and the 3' end, to which the tRNAs corresponding amino acid is attached (by aminoacyl-tRNA synthetases). tRNAs cope with the degeneracy of the genetic code in two manners: having more than one tRNA (with a specific anti-codon) for a particular amino acid; and 'wobble' base-pairing, i.e. permitting non-standard base-pairing at the 3rd anti-codon position.
Source: Rfam by way of RNAcentral
GUUUCUAUAGUGUAGCGGUUUCACAUUUUCUUUACACACAGAAUGUCCUGGGUUCAAUUCCCAGUGGAACCA